CCCUUAGAUGUUCUGGGCUGCACGCGCGCUACACUGAUGCGUUCAACGAGUGUACAACCUUGCCCGAUAGGGUUGGGUAAUCUUUUGAACACGCAUCGUGAUGGGGAUAGAUUAUUGCAAUUAUUAAUCUUCAACGAGGAAUUCCUAGUAAUGAUGAAUCAUCAGUUCAUCGUGAUUACGUCCCUGCCCUUUGUACACACCGCCCGUCGCACCUACCGAUUGAAUGGUCCGGUGAAAUCUCGGGACGGCGGCUUGGUCGCUUGCGUCCGACUGCUGAAACUUGAUUAAACCAUAUCAUUUAGAGGAAGGUGAAGUCGUAACA
Molecule: ribosomal RNA, 322 nt
Filed under: uncultured eukaryote
Lineage: Eukaryota
Description: partial 18S ribosomal RNA
Rfam family: Eukaryotic small subunit ribosomal RNA
Source: RNAcentral